RNAcentral lists this ribosomal RNA (301 nucleotides) under uncultured bacterium. RNAcentral's name for it is "partial 16S ribosomal RNA". It matches the Rfam family "Bacterial small subunit ribosomal RNA", at positions 509 to 809 of the family's 1533-position model. The record is from RNAcentral.
CAGUCGCCGCGGGAAUACGAAGGGUGCAAGCGUUAAUCGGAAUUACUGGGCGUAAAGCGUGCGUAGGCGGUUUGUUAAGUCUGCUGUGAAAUCCCCGGGCUCAACCUGGGAAUGGCAGUGGAUACUGGCAAGCUAGAGCGUGUCAGAGGAUGGUGGAAUUCCCGGUGUAGCGGUGAAAUGCGUAGAGAUCGGGAGGAACAUCAGUGGCGAAGGCGGCCAUCUGGGACAACGCUGACGCUGAGGCACGAAAGCGUGGGGAGCAAACAGGAUUAGAUACCCCCGUAGUCCCUGUCUCUUAUAA